GAUGAACGCUGGCGGCGUGCCUAAUACAUGCAAGUCGAGCGAACAGAUAAGGAGCUUGCUCCUUUGACGUUAGCGGCGGACGGGUGAGUAACACGUGGGUAACCUACCUAUAAGACUGGAAUAACUCCGGGAAACCGGGGCUAAUGCCGGAUAAUAUUUAGAACCGCAUGGUUCUAAAGUGAAAGAUGGUUUUACUAUCACUUAUAGAUGGACCCGCGCCGUAUUAGCUAGUUGGUGGGGUAAUGGCUUACCAAGGCAACGAUACGUAGCCGACCUGCGAGGGUGAUCGGCCACACUGGAACUGAGACACGGUCCAGACUCCUACGGGAGGCAGCAGUAGGGAAUCUUCCGCAAUGGGCGAAAGCCUGACGGAGCAACGCCGCGUGAGUGAUGAAGGUCUUCGGAUCGUAAAACUCUGUUAUUAGGGAAGAACAAAUGUGUAAGUAACUGUGCACGUCUUGACGGUACCUAAUCAGAAAGCCACGGCUAACUACGUGCCAGCCGCCGCAGUAA
This 513-nucleotide ribosomal RNA is filed under the name uncultured bacterium. RNAcentral describes it as "partial 16S ribosomal RNA". It matches the Rfam family "Bacterial small subunit ribosomal RNA", at positions 28 to 523 of the family's 1533-position model. The record is from RNAcentral.